AUGCCCUAAAACACAAGCCCGCCAAUCUGAUCCUCAUUACCCCAAUUUCCCCCUUUUGAUUUUCCCCAAACUUCACAAGCCCGCCAAUCUGAUCCUCAUUACCCCCCAAUUUCUUCCCCUUUUCCCCAAUUCGUGACACACCGUCACCAGCUGCUACUCCCCUCGAUUGCACUACCUCCCUCGUCGCACCACCUCUGCCGUAGCUGUCCCACCUCCACCAUCACCGACCCACACUGCCACCUUGGGAGAGAGAGAGAUUGACGACGAUGGUGGCGAAUCUCCGCCCUAUUCAUCACCACACUGCCACCUUGACCAUCGCCCAACCCCCAGCGCACCUCCCCCGCCAACCCCUCGAAAACACCACUUUAAACCCCCAAAUUGUCAGAGAUUUUUGAUUCAAGAAGCAAAAACUCAUCUCCUAUGGGCUCCAAGCAACCUGGCUUCGAUGACGACGCAAGCCCCGGGUACCUUAGUUAACUAUUUUACAAAGUAUGGAGACCUGAUGGAUUUGGUUAUCAUGAAAGAUCGAUAGACUGGUCGUCUAAGGGGCUUUGGGUUUAUUAAGUAUGCGGAUCCUUCGGUUGUUGACACUGUUAUUGCUGAGACAAAUGUUAUUAAUGGGAAACAAGUCAAACUUAUUGACUUCUCUCUUGGUGAGAAAUCUUUGGUUACUUGCAGCAGUCAUGAACCAAGCAACCCUCGCGACCCUCAUAGAGUAGUGCUUAAUUUGAUGCGAGAACUGGAAAAAUAAUGAAAGAUUUCAACGAAAGGGCAGAUGAGUUUGCGUUUGGAGAAACCGGCGGUUUCACUGGGGUUUCUUGGCCUGUUUUCAGGUAAUGAAUUAGUACGUGAUACGACCCGAACCGCAAGCCGACCCGUGAAGAUCCAUUUCAACACCAUGUCCUUUAUUUUAGCAUGCAUGCAUACAUAGAUCUGCACGUUCUCAUAUUUGCUAUUGCAUUUCUUCCAUGUUUCCUAAUUGUUAGUUAAAUUAAAGUAGUGGGUUAGUGGGCCAUGUUUAGGUUAGUUAUUUGAUUGUUUCUUUGUUUUGUAAGUCUUUAAAAAGGGGUUCGUAUCAUUAAUGGAAGGAAGAAGAGAAAAUUAUUGAGAGAAGUAUUGUUUCGUUUUCCUUAUCUAGUUCUUGGAGCCUAACCCACUCAACGGGUCUCUUGGGAGAUUAGCCAUCUCGAAUCGGCUUCUAUCAGUACGAUUAAGCUAAUUUAUGUUGGACGUUACUGAAGAAAUCCUUCCUGAUGUCGGCAUCUUUUAGAUUCGAUCUGUUGUGUCAUAGAUUUGGCUAGUCAAAAACAAUGAUACAGUAACUUUUUGUUAUGAUGCACAGCUAUGGGAAAGAGAAGUUGAGUCUGGAAAGACAGAUCUACUGAAAUGCUGUUGAUUUUUAGUCCUAAACCACUUAAUAUUGCUGUACAGAAUGGUAGCGAUCAUGACACGGGUUUGAUGGCAGAUGUUGGCAGUGAUCAGGAAGAUCAUUCAGUUGCUGUAGCGAAGCACAUAGAAGUUGCAGAUAAAUAUGACGUCGGGGAAUACGGUGACUUUCUUUCAUCCAAGGUUUCAUUUAUUUGGUUGUUUUAUGUUUGACUUAAACAAAAAUUCGAACUAGUUAACUUUUAUGUACUUUUAUGUGUAUACAUGUACACAUCAGUGGUUUCGUAUGUAUUCGGGAAAAUUGGUUAUAGCACUAAAAUGUAAUUUUUUUUUACUAUUUUUCGACUUUUAGUGGCGACAA
RNAcentral lists this long non-coding RNA (1747 nucleotides) under Helianthus annuus (common sunflower). Lineage: Eukaryota; Viridiplantae; Streptophyta; Magnoliopsida; Asterales; Asteraceae. The record is from RNAcentral.